Long non-coding RNA from Paramormyrops kingsleyae, 2273 nucleotides. RefSeq lists it as uncharacterized. The record is from RefSeq and is a predicted model, not a curated record. NCBI's taxonomy places the organism in Eukaryota, Metazoa, Chordata, Actinopteri, Osteoglossiformes, Mormyridae.
CCCGGCUGCGGUGUUGCCGCAGCAGCCGUACCUGCAGCCGCCCUCUUGCUCUUCACCACCGUCACCCACUCCGCCUGCACCUGGCCAGCCCCACCGGCCGGCUCCAGGCUCGGACCCACGUCCAUAUCGGCGUGGUCUAGGUCAGUGUCUUCUACCAAGUCCAAGGACGCCCGUGCAGCCUCGGCUGCACGCGACGCGCUGGGCUGACAAACAGCCAUCAGGGAAAUAUCGGGGGAAAAGGAAAAGAAAGGAAAAAAAAACAGGUGCACUAAACGAAAGAUAGGUAAGGGGUGGGGAGCCCUGGACCAGGACCCCGGAGCGAGCCGGAGCCGGCCGGCAAAACAAAAAAAAAACCCAAACUAAAACGGGGGGGAACUGAAAGAACUGAAGAAGAGGUGGUCAGUCUCCCCCUCCCCGGCGCAGACGCGCCACUAGGGCGAGGGAAAACGGACAAAAGAAAAGACCGAGAACACUCUAACACAACUCUAAAGAAACUAAUCAGGAAAAGAAACCAAACCGUCAGAGCCGAGAGAAAAAAAGGAAACGACCGCACACCUCAAUCUCACAGCUAGCAAUGCUGUCAGCCACGCCCCCGGAAACGCACAAGCGUUUUCAGGGUGGUAUGGCCGUAAGCGAAUACACUUUCUGAAAUGAGCCCUUUUGUAGGUGACACAUCUAUAUACCGCUUGCAGACGUCACACACCCUGCUCUCAAUUGUUUUUAACCUGUCCGACUCUGCUGCCCCCCCCCCCCGUCCAAUUAGCACUGGCCCCUCCCAAUCCUUCGCCAAACUCCUCAGUCGGCUGUCUCCAUCGACUUCUCCGUUUUUACCAGCCUUCGGUGUCAUAGGGACUGCAGAGUGACAGAAGGAGUGACAUCAAGGCUAAUAAUACCUGUUCAUUCGAACAUGGCAGCCUGGACAAGGAGACAAUGUGGGAGCCAUUUGUCCCAUUAAGCACCCUGCUGGUCUCCACUGGACUGGUGGUGGCCGUGGUGGUUCUGCUUUCCAGGAGGACAGUUGAAUCCCCAGGCUCUGUGACAGGUCUGUGUUUUAAUGGACACAGUGUAUAUUUGGGUGUAUCUGUGCUUCUACUAUGAUGACUUAGCACUUUGAUGUGUGGCAGGGUGUUGAGGCAGGUCAUCUGUGCUGAUCAAUACUUAUCAUCGUACUUUAUAUAAAAUAUAAAAUUACAGAAGGAUAUGAACAUUGUGAUUUUAUGUGUAAAUGGUUUUAAAAUACAGGGGCUUGCAAAAGUAUUCAGCCCUUUUGAAAGUCAUAGUAAUUUUCUGCAUGUCAAAAUAUUUGUACACACAUUUGUGCAUUUUGUAUUUUUGUUGUGAACUCAUAUACUGUAACAGUACAUUUCCAGAGUAAAAAUGAACCUUUUUCUGUAGAUAUUUAACUGAAGGAAAAACUCAGAAUUUAGUGCGUGUAUAAGUAUUCAACCCCUACACAUUAAUUUUUUGUUGAGAACUCUUUUUACUGCAAUAGCAGCCUUAAUUCUUUUGGGGUAAGUAUGUAACAGUUUUACACAUUGUUCAGGAGUGAUUCUUCCCCAUUCUAUUCCCCACAGUUAUCAAAUAGUGCCACAGUGUUACGGUGGGGCUUGGUGCAAGUGGGGAAAGUAUAACAAUCCAUGGAAUGGACAAAAGGUUUCACUAAAGAAAGACAGGAUCCAAAGGGCCAAACCACAAAAUAAAGAGAUCAUGAGGGGUCAAACACAACACUGAUAAAACUGAACGCGAGGCGGAGAACCAAUACAUUGCAACACUGGGAAACAGCCACAGAGCACAUCUAAUGCACACUUCACGUCAUUUGCGAUUAGUCAUUUGUAUAAACCUGGAGCUUCCAAAGCACGGGGGUUGAAAACCUAUGCAAACAGCACAUAUCAUAUUUUUAUUUUUAUUUUUUUAAUGUUAGUAGUUUUCAACAUAAAUGUUGUUUGAGAAAAUUGAGUAUAUGUUGUAGUGCCGGCGGGAUUUGCAUAUCUCGGCAUUCCUCGUGGACCAUUGUAAAUAACCCCUUGUAUGCAUGUCUUAUUGUAAACGUUCAUGUUGUAUUUCCCUGUUGUCGUGCAUGUGUUUGCCUGUGUGAACCCUGUCCCACCCUCACAUGUCUUUAGUGUUGCAUAAAUUACCCACCAUGUGUGAGCUUCACCGUUCAGCAUCGGACCUCCCUGUGUUUCCCUAGCAUGUUUGGUUCCAGUGCUUUUGCAGUUCAUAUGUUAGUCCUGUUCAGAACUGUAAUAAAAGAGUCUCUUCCUCCUCUGCUA